Molecule: transfer RNA, 70 nt
Filed under: Schistura pridii
Lineage: Eukaryota; Metazoa; Chordata; Actinopteri; Cypriniformes; Nemacheilidae
Description: tRNA-Arg
Rfam family: tRNA
About the family: Transfer RNA (tRNA) molecules are approximately 80 nucleotides in length. Their secondary structure includes four short double-helical elements and three loops (D, anti-codon, and T loops).
Source: RNAcentral
AGAGGGUUAGUCCAAUACAAGACCUCUGAUUUCGACUCAGAAAAUUGUGGUUUAACUCCACGACCCCCUC